UUCGCCCUUAGAGUUUGAUCCUGGCUCAGAGCGAACGCUGGCGGCAGGCUUAACACAUGCAAGUCGAACGCAUCCUUCGGGAUGAGUGGCAGACGGGUGAGUAACACGUGGGAACGUGCCCUCCGGUCUGGGAUAACCCUGGGAAACUAGGGCUAAUACCGGAUACGUGCUUUGGCAGAAAGGUUUACUGCCGGAGGAUCGGCCCGCGUCUGAUUAGCUAGUUGGUGGGGUAACGGCCUACCAAGGCGACGACCAGUAGCUGGUCUGAGAGGAUGAUCAGCCACACUGGGACUGAGACACGGCCCAGACUCCUACGGGAGGCAGCAGAAGGG
RNAcentral lists this ribosomal RNA (332 nucleotides) under uncultured Methylobacterium sp. RNAcentral describes it as "bacterial SSU rRNA". It matches the Rfam family "Bacterial small subunit ribosomal RNA", at positions 1 to 359 of the family's 1533-position model. Lineage: Bacteria; Pseudomonadati; Pseudomonadota; Alphaproteobacteria; Hyphomicrobiales; Methylobacteriaceae. The record is from RNAcentral.